This 427-nucleotide ribosomal RNA is filed under the name uncultured archaeon. RNAcentral's name for it is "bacterial SSU rRNA". It matches the Rfam family "Archaeal small subunit ribosomal RNA", at positions 44 to 473 of the family's 1478-position model. The record is from RNAcentral.
UUAAGCCAUGCGAGUCGAACGAGUUUAGGCUCGUGGCGUACGGCUCAGUAACACGUGGAUAACCUACCCUUAGGACCGGGAUAACCUUGGGAAACUGAGGAUAAUACUGGAUAGGCAAUUUUUCCUGUAAUGGUUUUUUGUUUAAAUGUUUUUUCGCCUAAGGAUGGGUCUGCGGCCGAUUAGGUAGUUGGUUAGGUAAUGGCUUACCAAGCCGUUGAUCGGUACGGGUUGUGAGAGCAAGAGCCCGGAGAUGGAACCUGAGACAAGGUUCCAGGCCCUACGGGGUGCAGCAGGCGCGAAACCUCCGCAAUGUGAGAAAUCGCGACGGGGGGAUCCCAAGUGCCAUUCUCAACGGGAUGGCUUUUCAUUAGUGUAAAGAGCUUUUGGAAUAAGAGCUGGGCAAGACCGGUGCCAGCCGCCGCGGUAA